This 497-nucleotide ribosomal RNA is filed under the name uncultured bacterium. RNAcentral describes it as "partial 16S ribosomal RNA". It matches the Rfam family "Bacterial small subunit ribosomal RNA", at positions 28 to 507 of the family's 1533-position model. The record is from RNAcentral.
GAUGAACGCUGGCGGCGUGCCUAAUACAUGCAAGUCGAGCGAACGGACGAGAAGCUUGCUUCUCUGAUGUUAGCGGCGGACGGGUGAGUAACACGUGGAUAACCUACCUAUAAGACUGGAAUAACUUCGGGAAACCGGAGCUAAUACCGGAUAAUAUUUUGAACCGCAUGGUUCAAAAGUGAAAGAUGGUCUUGCUGUCACUUAUAGAUGGAUCCGCGCUGCAUUAGCUAGUUGGUAAGGUAACGGCUUACCAAGGCAACGAUGCAUAGCCGACCUGAGAGGGUGAUCGGCCACACUGGAACUGAGACACGGUCCAGACUCCUACGGGAGGCAGCAGUAGGGAAUCUUCCGCAAUGGGCGAAAGCCUGACGGAGCAACGCCGCGUGAGUGAUGAAGGUCUUCGGAUCGUAAAACUCUGUUAUUAGGGAAGAACAUAUGUGUAAGUAACUGUGCACAUCUUGACGGUACCUAAUCAGAAAGCCACGGCUAACUACGUG